This 577-nucleotide ribosomal RNA is filed under the name uncultured Bacteroidota bacterium. RNAcentral describes it as "bacterial SSU rRNA". It matches the Rfam family "Bacterial small subunit ribosomal RNA", at positions 338 to 916 of the family's 1533-position model. The record is from RNAcentral. Lineage: Bacteria; Pseudomonadati; Bacteroidota.
CCUACGGGAGGCAGCAGUAAGGAAUAUUGGUCAAUGGACGAAAGUCUGAACCAGCCAUGCCGCGUGGAGGAUGAAGGUCCUCUGGAUUGUAAACUUCUUUUAUAUGGGACGAAAAAAGGCCUUUCUAGGUCGUCUGACGGUACCAUAUGAAUAAGCACCGGCUAACUCCGUGCCAGCAGCCGCGGUAAUACGGAGGGUGCAAGCGUUAUCCGGAUUCACUGGGUUUAAAAGGUGCGUAGGUGGGUUGGUAAGUCAGUGGUGAAAUCUCCGAGCUUAACUUGGAAACUGCCAUUGAUACUAUCAGUCUUGAAUAUUGUGGAGGUUAGCGGAAUAUGUCAUGUAGCGGUGAAAUGCUUAGAUAUGACAUAGAACACCAAUUGCGAAGGCAGCUGGCUACACAUAUAUUGACACUGAGGCACGAAAGCGUGGGGAUCAAACAGGAUUAGAUACCCUGGUAGUCCACGCCCUAAACUAUGGAUACUCGACAUACGCGAUACACAGUGUGUGUCUGAGCGAAAGCAUUAAGUAAUCCACCUGGGAAGUACGUCCGCAAGGAUAAACUCAAAGGAAUUGACGG